This 253-nucleotide ribosomal RNA is filed under the name uncultured bacterium. RNAcentral describes it as "partial 16S ribosomal RNA". It matches the Rfam family "Bacterial small subunit ribosomal RNA", at positions 524 to 776 of the family's 1533-position model. The record is from RNAcentral.
UACGUAGGGUGCGAGCGUUGCCCGGAUUUAUUGGGCGUAAAGGGCGCGUAGGCGGCCUGGCAAGUGGAAGGUGAAAUCCCUCGGCUUAACCGAGGAACUGCCCUCCAAACUGCUUGGCUUGAGACCGGGAGAGGUGAGUGGAAUUCCCAGUGUAGCGGUGAAAUGCGUAGAUAUUGGGAGGAACACCAGUGGCGAAGGCGGCUCACUGGACCGGUACUGACGCUGAGGCGCGAAAGCGUGGGGAGCAAACGGG